AGAAUCAACGCUGGCGGCGUGCCUAACACAUGCAAGUCGAACGAGAAAGUGGAGCAAUCCAUGAGUACAGUGGCGACCGGGUGAGUAACACGUGACCAAUCUACCUUCGAGUGGGGGAUAACUCCGGGAAACCGGGGCUAAUACCGCAUAACAUCUUUGGAAUGCAAAUUCCGUUGAUCAAAGGAGCAAUUCGCUUGAAGAGGAGGUCGCGGCUGAUUAGCUAGUUGGCGGGGUAAUGGCCCACCAAGGCGAAGAUCGGUAUCCGGCCUGAGAGGGCGCACGGACACACUGGAACUGAAACACGGUCCAGACUCCUACGGGAGGCAGCAGUGGGGAAUUUUGCGCAAUGGGGGAAACCCUGACGCAGCAACGCCGCGUGGAGGAUGAAGUCCCUUGGGACGUAAACUCCUUUCGACCAAGACGAUAAUGACGGUACUGGUGGAAGAAGCACCGGCUAACUCUGCGCCAGCAGCCGCGGUAA
This 481-nucleotide ribosomal RNA is filed under the name uncultured bacterium. Its description in RNAcentral is "SSU rRNA". It matches the Rfam family "Bacterial small subunit ribosomal RNA", at positions 26 to 523 of the family's 1533-position model. The record is from RNAcentral.